Molecule: ribosomal RNA, 482 nt
Filed under: uncultured bacterium
Lineage: Bacteria
Description: partial 16S ribosomal RNA
Rfam family: Bacterial small subunit ribosomal RNA
Source: RNAcentral
AUUGAACGCUGGCGGCAUGCUUUACACAUGCAAGUCGAACGGUAACAGGCCGCAAGGUGCUGACGAGUGGCGAACGGGUGAGUAAUGCAUCGGAACGUGCCCAGUCGUGGGGGAUAACUACUCGAAAGAGUAGCUAAUACCGCAUACGAUCUAUGGAUGAAAGCGGGGGACCGUAAGGCGUCGCGCGAUUGGAGCGGCCGAUGUCAGAUUAGGUAGUUGGUGGGGUAAAGGCUCACCAAGCCAACGAUCUGUAGCUGGUCUGAGAGGACGACCAGCCACACUGGGAGUGAGACACGGCCCAGACUCCUACGGGAGGCCGCAGUGGGGAAUUUUGGACGAUGGGCGCAAGCCUGAUCCAGCAAUGCCGCGUGCAGGAAGAAGGCCUUCGGGUUGUAAACUGCUUUUGUACGGAACGAAACGGCUCUGGUUAAUACCCGGGGCUAAUGACGGUACCGUAAGAAUAAGCACCGGCUAACUACGUG